This 1429-nucleotide long non-coding RNA is filed under the name Homo sapiens (human). RNAcentral's name for it is "HSALNT0281456". The record is from RNAcentral. Lineage: Eukaryota; Metazoa; Chordata; Mammalia; Primates; Hominidae.
UAUUUUGAUUUUCUUUCCCUCCCUUUUUUAAAGCAACCUAGUUCUUUACUUUUAUCUUUAAAUAAAUUGUAAACAAAUUUCUACCUUUUUUAGGCACAGUCUUCACAAAUUCUUUCCUCCUUUCCUCUAAAACGUGGAGGUUCCUGCACUAGAAAUGGAGACAUAUUAAUAAUACUUAAGCCAUCCGAGAACACCAUGAAAUGAGUCAUUCUCAAUGGCUACACUUUUCUGAUACCCUUUAGACUUAGGCAAAAAUCCUAUUUUGCAUAAACAUUUAGGCCGGCUUAACUUGAGUUAACCCUUUUGUGAAUAGACUGUUAAUAUCAUUGCCAGAUUGUAAACUCUAAUUAAUAGUCUCACUCCUUUAGGUUCUAGCCAGUACAAUGACCAGAGAAAAAUCUCAGUAUACAUAGCAUUUGUUGAAUAAACAUGUGAAGUGAAUGAAUGAAUAAAUGCAGUACAAUGAUGCUCUUAGGUUCUAUUGAGGCAUAUGGAGCUCCUUUUCUCUUACACUAACUGGCCCCAAGCUGCUAUGCUUUUAAGUGUUUGAGUCUGCUUUGCAGUGUUUCUUUCUUUGCCCUUCCUUAGGUUCUCUGAUGUCACUUGUUAUCAUUGUGUAUGUACCUAUCUCUAGAAGUCUUUCUCUCUUAACUUGCUACUUCUCAUCAACUAUGACUUUGGGACCAACAUGACUAAGCUGGUUAUGGCAAGUACACAACAACUCUGAGUGAAUUUCUGACUGACUUCGCCACUGUUUAAUGUACCGUUUGUGGAUUUGAGCUCCUUUUUGGUUGCUCAGACAUUGUCCUCACCCACUUACCCACAGUUCAUACUUCUAUUUCAGAUAGUGAGAUAGCCAGUAGCUUAUUUCUACAUGAAUGGAAUGACGUGCUAGUUAUUGGAGCAGAAUUGAAAUAAACUACCUGUACUUUCCAGAUGGCAACACCUUUUAUCUGAGCCCAGGGACUUUCACACUUCCAAAACACGUAUGACUCCACGUAAUUCAUGACAAUUCAGAGGAUAUAGUAUUUUACUCAUAGCAAAGCUAAUAUAUUAUUCAUGGCAAUCCCCAAAAAAGGGCUAUGUGGUAUUAGCACAGAUACAAUCACCUACAGCUCUCACCCUGAACCCCCAUCUCUCUUUCAACAAUUUUUGAUGCCAUUUGCAUCAGCGGUUUUGUUAUAUAACAAACUACUCUGAAGUUAGUGGCUUAAAACAACAAGCAUUUAACAUUUCUCAUGCAUCUACAGGACAUCUGGGUGGUUCUGAGGAUGUGAACUGAACUUACACAUGUAUCUACAGUCAUCUGUGGAUGGCCUGGGCAGUUUUGUUAGUCUUGGGCUCUCUCUCACAUAUCUGGGGUCUUAGGGCUGGGACUAAGUAGGCUGACUCUGCUCUGCCCCAUAGGUUUCCUGAGACCUAGACUCUG